Molecule: ribosomal RNA, 2789 nt
Filed under: Escherichia coli
Lineage: Bacteria; Pseudomonadati; Pseudomonadota; Gammaproteobacteria; Enterobacterales; Enterobacteriaceae
Description: bacterial LSU rRNA
Rfam family: Bacterial large subunit ribosomal RNA
Source: RNAcentral
AGCGUACACGGUGGAUGCCCUGGCAGUCAGAGGCGAUGAAGGACGUGCUAAUCUGCGAUAAGCGUCGGUAAGGUGAUAUGAACCGUUAUAACCGGCGAUUUCCGAAUGGGGAAACCCAGUGUGAUUCGUCACACUAUCAUUAACUGAAUCCAUAGGUUAAUGAGGCGAACCGGGGGAACUGAAACAUCUAAGUACCCCGAGGAAAAGAAAUCAACCGAGAUUCCCCCAGUAGCGGCGAGCGAACGGGGAGCAGCCCAGAGCCUGAAUCAGUGUGUGUGUUAGUGGAAGCGUCUGGAAAGGCGUGCGAUACAGGGUGACAGCCCCGUACACAAAAAUGCACAUACUGUGAGCUCGAUGAGUAGGGCGGGACACGUGGUAUCCUGUCUGAAUAUGGGGGGACCAUCCUCCAAGGCUAAAUACUCCUGACUGACCGAUAGUGAACCAGUACCGUGAGGGAAAGGCGAAAAGAACCCCGGCGAGGGGAGUGAAAAAGAACCUGAAACCGUGUACGUACAAACAGUGGGAGCACAGAGCAAUCUGUGUGACUGCGUACCUUUUGUAUAAUGGGUCAGCGACUUAUAUUCUGUAGCAAGGUUAACCGAAUAGGGGAGCCGAAGGGAAACCGAGUCUUAACUGGGCGUUAAGUUGCAGGGUAUAGACCCGAAACCCGGUGAUCUAGCCAUGGGCAGGUUGAAGGUUGGGUAACACUAACUGGAGGACCGAACCGACUAAUGUUGAAAAAUUAGCGGAUGACUUGUGGCUGGGGGUGAAAGGCCAAUCAAACCGGGAGAUAGCUGGUUCUCCCCGAAAGCUAUUUAGGUAGCGCCUCGUGAAUUCAUCUCCGGGGGUAGAGCACUGUUUCGGCAAGGGGGUCAUCCCGACUUACCAACCCGAUGCAAACUGCGAAUACCGGAGAAUGUUAUCACGGGAGACACACGGCGGGUGCUAACGUCCGUCGUGAAGAGGGAAACAACCCAGACCGCCAGCUAAGGUCCCAAAGUCAUGGUUAAGUGGGAAACGAUGUGGGAAGGCCCAGACAGCCAGGAUGUUGGCUUAGAAGCAGCCAUCAUUUAAAGAAAGCGUAAUAGCUCACUGGUCGAGUCGGCCUGCGCGGAAGAUGUAACGGGGCUAAACCAUGCACCGAAGCUGCGGCAGCGACGCUGAUGCGUUGUUGGGUAGGGGAGCGUUCUGUAAGCCUGUGAAGGUGUACUGUGAGGUAUGCUGGAGGUAUCAGAAGUGCGAAUGCUGACAUAAGUAACGAUAAAGCGGGUGAAAAGCCCGCUCGCCGGAAGACCAAGGGUUCCUGUCCAACGUUAAUCGGGGCAGGGUGAGUCGACCCCUAAGGCGAGGCCGAAAGGCGUAGUCGAUGGGAAACAGGUUAAUAUUCCUGUACUUGGUGUUACUGCGAAGGGGGGACGGAGAAGGCUAUGUUGGCCGGGCGACGGUUGUCCCGGUUUAAGCGUGUAGGCUGGUUUUCCAGGCAAAUCCGGAAAAUCAAGGCUGAGGCGUGAUGACGAGGCACUACGGUGCUGAAGCAACAAAUGCCCUGCUUCCAGGAAAAGCCUCUAAGCAUCAGGUAACAUCAAAUCGUACCCCAAACCGACACAGGUGGUCAGGUAGAGAAUACCAAGGCGCUUGAGAGAACUCGGGUGAAGGAACUAGGCAAAAUGGUGCCGUAACUUCGGGAGAAGGCACGCUGAUAUGUAGGUGAAGUCCCUCGCGGAUGGAGCUGAAAUCAGUCGAAGAUACCAGCUGGCUGCAACUGUUUAUUAAAAACACAGCACUGUGCAAACACGAAAGUGGACGUAUACGGUGUGACGCCUGCCCGGUGCCGGAAGGUUAAUUGAUGGGGUUAGCGCAAGCGAAGCUCUUGAUCGAAGCCCCGGUAAACGGCGGCCGUAACUAUAACGGUCCUAAGGUAGCGAAAUUCCUUGUCGGGUAAGUUCCGACCUGCACGAAUGGCGUAAUGAUGGCCAGGCUGUCUCCACCCGAGACUCAGUGAAAUUGAACUCGCUGUGAAGAUGCAGUGUACCCGCGGCAAGACGGAAAGACCCCGUGAACCUUUACUAUAGCUUGACACUGAACAUUGAGCCUUGAUGUGUAGGAUAGGUGGGAGGCUUGGAAGUGUGGACGCCAGUCUGCAUGGAGCCGACCUUGAAAUACCACCCUUUAAUGUUUGAUGUUCUAACGUUGACCCGUGAUCCGGGUUGCGGACAGUGUCUGGUGGGUAGUUUGACUGGGGCGGUCUCCUCCUAAAGAGUAACGGAGGAGCACGAAGGUUGGCUAAUCCUGGUCGGACAUCAGGAGGUUAGUGCAAUGGCAUAAGCCAGCUUGACUGCGAGCGUGACGGCGCGAGCAGGUGCGAAAGCAGGUCAUAGUGAUCCGGUGGUUCUGAAUGGAAGGGCCAUCGCUCAACGGAUAAAAGGUACUCCGGGGAUAACAGGCUGAUACCGCCCAAGAGUUCAUAUCGACGGCGGUGUUUGGCACCUCGAUGUCGGCUCAUCACAUCCUGGGGCUGAAGUAGGUCCCAAGGGUAUGGCUGUUCGCCAUUUAAAGUGGUACGCGAGCUGGGUUUAGAACGUCGUGAGACAGUUCGGUCCCUAUCUGCCGUGGGCGCUGGAGAACUGAGGGGGGCUGCUCCUAGUACGAGAGGACCGGAGUGGACGCAUCACUGGUGUUCGGGUUGUCAUGCCAAUGGCACUGCCCGGUAGCUAAAUGCGGAAGAGAUAAGUGCUGAAAGCAUCUAAGCACGAAACUUGCCCCGAGAUGAGUUCUCCCUGACUCCUUGA